ACAUGUUUCCCUAAGUGAGUCAAGCCUAGUUAUGCAGUUAGUGUGCCUUUGUUUAUUUACUUUUGUGGAUUUUCUUUAUUGCUUUUGUUGUCUUUAUUGUCAUAUUAAUAUAAUUUAUUGUAUUGGUUCCAUCAUGCUUUGGUACUUGGAUACUCUGAUUGCAAACCUGGUGGUUGCAGAGGUAGCCGCCUGUAUCUUUCC
This 201-nucleotide long non-coding RNA is filed under the name Lathyrus oleraceus (garden pea). Its description in RNAcentral is "Pisum sativum (pea) long non-coding RNA (PSAT_LNC039964)". Lineage: Eukaryota; Viridiplantae; Streptophyta; Magnoliopsida; Fabales; Fabaceae. The record is from RNAcentral.